Molecule: ribosomal RNA, 460 nt
Filed under: uncultured bacterium
Lineage: Bacteria
Description: partial 16S ribosomal RNA
Rfam family: Bacterial small subunit ribosomal RNA
Source: RNAcentral
CCUACGGGUGGCUGCAGUGAGGAAUAUUGGUCAAUGGACGAGAGCCUGAACCAGCCAAGCAGCGUGAAGGAUGACUGCCCUAUGGGUUGUAAACUUCUUUUAUAAGGGAAUAAAGCGUGGCACGUGUGCCUUUUUGCAUGUACCUUAUGAAUAAGCAUCGGCUAACUCCGUGCCAGCAGCCGCGGUAAUACGGAGGAUCCGAGCGUUAUCCGGAUUUAUUGGGUUUAAAGGGAGCGUAGGCGGGUUGUUAAGUCAGGUGUGAAAGUUGCGGGCUCAACCGGAGAAUGGCAGUUGAUACUGGCAGGCUUGAGUACGGGAGAGGUAGGCGGAAUUCGUGGUGUAGCGGUGAAAUGCGUAGAUAUCGCGAAGAACCCCGAUGGCGAAGGCAGCUUACUGGACUAAGACUGACGCUGAGGCUCGAAAGUGUGGGUAUCAAACAGGAUUAGAUACCCUUGUAGUC